RNAcentral lists this ribosomal RNA (1214 nucleotides) under metagenome. RNAcentral describes it as "bacterial SSU rRNA". It matches the Rfam family "Bacterial small subunit ribosomal RNA", at positions 284 to 1520 of the family's 1533-position model. The record is from RNAcentral.
UAACUGGUUUGAGAGGAUGAUCAGUCACACUGGAACUGAGACACGGUCCAGACUCCUACGGGAGGCAGCAGUGGGGAAUAUUGCACAAUGGACGAAAGUCUGAUGCAGCAACGCCGCGUGGAGGAUGACACAUUUCGGUGCGUAAACUCCUUUUAUAUAGGAAGAUAAUGACGGUACUAUAUGAAUAAGCACCGGCUAACUCCGUGCCAGCAGCCGCGGUAAUACGGAGGGUGCAAGCGUUACUCGGAAUUACUGGGCGUAAAGAGCGUGUAGGCGGGUAAAUAAGUUGGAAGUGAAAUCCUAUGGCUCAACCAUAGAACUGCUUCCAAAACUGUUAACCUAGAAUGUGGGAGAGGUAGAUGGAAUUUCUGGUGUAGGGGUAAAAUCCGUAGAUAUCAGAAGGAAUACCGAUUGCGAAGGCGAUCUACUGGAACAUAAUUGACGCUGAGACGCGAAAGCGUGGGGAGCAAACAGGAUUAGAUACCCUGGUAGUCCACGCCCUAAACGAUGUACACUAGUUGUUGUGAGGCUAGACCUUGCAGUAAUGCAGUUAACACAUUAAGUGUACCGCCUGGGGAGUACGGUCGCAAGAUUAAAACUCAAAGGAAUAGACGGGGACCCGCACAAGCGGUGGAGCAUGUGGUUUAAUUCGACAUACGCGAAGAACCUUACCUGGUCUUGACAUAGAAAGAACUUUCCAGAGAUGGAUUGGUGCCUGCUUGCAGGAGCUUUCAUACAGGUGCUGCACGGCUGUCGUCAGCUCGUGUCGUGAGAUGUUGGGUUAAGUCCCGCAACGAGCGCAACCCUCGUCGUUAGUUGCUAACAGUUCGGCUGAGAACUCUAACGAGACUGCCUACGCAAGUAGGAGGAAGGUGAGGACGACGUCAAGUCAUCAUGGCCCUUACGACCAGGGCUACACACGUGCUACAAUGGGGUAUACAAAGAGCAGCGAUACGGUGACGUGGAGCGAAUCUCAAAAAUGCCUCCCAGUUCGGAUAGUAGUCUGCAACUCGACUACUUGAAGUUGGAAUCGCUAGUAAUCGUAGAUCAGCUAUGCUACGGUGAAUACGUUCCCGGGUCUUGUACUCACCGCCCGUCGCACCAUGGGAGUUGAAUUCAUUCGAAGCGGGGAUGCUAAAAUAGCUACCUUCCACAGUGGAUUUAGCGACUGGGGUGAAGUCGUAACAAGGUAACCGUAGGAGAACCUGCGGUUG